Molecule: unclassified non-coding RNA, 250 nt
Filed under: plant metagenome
Description: partial contains small subunit ribosomal RNA, internal transcribed spacer 1, and 5.8S ribosomal RNA
Rfam family: 5.8S ribosomal RNA (bases 201-250)
Source: RNAcentral
GUAGGUGAACCUGCGGAAGGAUCAUUCAUAAUCAAGUGUUUUUAUGGCACUUUCAAAAAUCCAUAUCCACCUUGUGUGCAAUGUCAUCUCACUGGAGGUCACGGCUGUAACAAUCCGUUGGUCACCUUUGGGAUUUAUAUCUACUCAGAACUUUAGUGAUUUUGUCUGAAACAUAUUAUGAAUAACUUAAUUCAAAAUACAACUUUCAACAACGGAUCUCUUGGCUCUCGCAUCGAUGAAGAACGCAGCA